This 376-nucleotide long non-coding RNA is filed under the name Malus domestica (apple). RNAcentral's name for it is "long non-coding RNA (MDOM_LNC011843)". The record is from RNAcentral. Lineage: Eukaryota; Viridiplantae; Streptophyta; Magnoliopsida; Rosales; Rosaceae.
CAGCUAGAGUGUGCUCGGCUACUUCUGAGGCAUCGUUGGGCCGCUCUAUUACGUCACCUAGGCUCAGCGUGAAGACGCAGUAGGGAGCUGUGGAGAUGUGGCCAUGUCAUACGCAACAGGAGAUGCUCAAUUGCCGGUAUUGGGCCACUCUAGAGUUGAAUCAUUGAGCAAGGGUCGGCUAAGGCCGUGUGAUGCGCAGCAAGAAAUGGUACUCAACUGCCCGUACAUGUUGCUCCUAUGUAGAAUCUUUUAGGGUGACGAGGACAAAACUUGCUUUCGAGUGUGUCCUUCCAGUGUUGCGUUAGUCAGAAAACUUUACAUCCGCCAGGGUCUACGCCUUUAUCGUCGCGCGUCUGGAUUGGGCAGAAUAGUACGU